This 18-nucleotide microRNA is filed under the name Homo sapiens (human). RNAcentral describes it as "hsa-miR-4315". The record is from miRBase by way of RNAcentral. Lineage: Eukaryota; Metazoa; Chordata; Mammalia; Primates; Hominidae.
CCGCUUUCUGAGCUGGAC